This 407-nucleotide ribosomal RNA is filed under the name uncultured bacterium. Its description in RNAcentral is "partial 16S ribosomal RNA". It matches the Rfam family "Bacterial small subunit ribosomal RNA", at positions 30 to 526 of the family's 1533-position model. The record is from RNAcentral.
AUUGAACGCUGGCGGCAGGCCUAACACAUGCAAGUCGAGCGGAGCGGCGGACGGGUGCGUAAUGCCUAGGCAUCUGCCUGGUAGUGGGGGAUAAAGUCCGGAAACGGGCGCUAAUACCGCCUACUAUCAGCUGAGCCUAGGUCGAAAUAGCUAGUUGGUGGGGUAAAGGACUACCAAGGCGACGAUCCGUAACUGGAAUGAGAGGUUGAUCAGUCACACUAGAACUACGACACGGUCCGUACUCGUACGGCAGGCAUCAGUGGGGAAUAUUGGACAAUGGGCGAAAGCCUGAUGCAGCCAUGCCGCAUGUGUUAAGAAGGUCUUCGGAUUGUAAAGCACUUUAAGUUGAGAGGCGUUACCAACAGAAUAAGCACCGGCUAACUUCGUGCCAGCCGCCGCGGUAAUUC